ACGAACGCUGGCGGCGUGCCUAAUACCUGCAAGUUGAGCGAUGAAGAUUGGUGCUUGCACCCAUUUGAAGAGCAGCGAACGGGUGAGUAACGCGUGGGGAAUCUGCCUUUGAGCGGGGGACAACAUUUGGAAACGAAUGCUAAUACCGCAUAACAACUUUAAACAUAAGUUUUAAGUUUGAAAGAUGCAAUUGCAUCACUCAAAGAUGAUCCCGCGUUGUAUUAGCUAGUUGGUGAGGUAAAGGCUCACCAAGGCGAUGAUACAUAGCCGACCUGAGAGGGUGAUCGGCCACAUUGGGACUGAGACACGGCCCAAACUCCUACGGGAGGCAGCAGUAGGGAAUCUUCGGCAAUGGACGAAAGUCUGACCGAGCAACGCCGCGUGAGUGAAGAAGGUUUUCGGAUCGUAAAACUCUGUUGGUAGAGAAGAACGUUGGUGAGAGUGGAAAGCUCAUCAAGUGACGGUAACUACCCAGAAAGGGACGGCUAACUACGUG
Molecule: ribosomal RNA, 496 nt
Filed under: uncultured bacterium
Lineage: Bacteria
Description: partial 16S ribosomal RNA
Rfam family: Bacterial small subunit ribosomal RNA
Source: RNAcentral